Molecule: ribosomal RNA, 644 nt
Filed under: Sporisorium aegypticum
Lineage: Eukaryota; Fungi; Basidiomycota; Ustilaginomycetes; Ustilaginales; Ustilaginaceae
Description: LSU rRNA
Rfam family: Eukaryotic large subunit ribosomal RNA
Source: RNAcentral
CGGAGGAAAAGAAACUAACAAGGAUUCCCCUAGUAACGGCGAGUGAAGAGGGAAGAGCCCAAGAUUGAAAGCUGGCGUCUUCGACGUCCGCAUUGUAAUUUCAAGAAGUGUUUUCCGCUUCGGACCAUGCCUAAGUCCCUUGGAAAAGGGCAUCACAGAGGGUGAUAAUCCCGUACAUGGCAUGGAGCGCCCGAAGCUUUGUGAUACACUUUCUAAGAGUCGAGUUGUUUGGGAAUGCAGCUCAAAAUGGGUGGUAAAUGCCAUCUAAGGCUAAAUAUUGGGGAGAGACCGAUAGCGAACAAGUACAGUGAUGGAAAGAUGAAAAGAACUUUGAAAAGAGAGUUAAACAGUACGUGAAAUUGCCAAAAGGGAAGGGUAGGAGGUCAGAGAUGCAGCUUAGGAUUCAGCCUUGCUUUUGCUUGGUGUUUUUCCUAAAUUGCAGGCCAACGUCGGUUUUGGGCACUGGAGAAGGGUGGAAGGAAUGUGGCACCUCUCGGGGUGUGUUAUAGCCUUCCACUGGAUACAGCGACCGAGACCGAGGACAGCAGCGUACUCGCGAGAGCGGGCCUUCGGGCACCUUUACGCUUAGGGCAUUGGCAUAAUGGCCCUCUACCACCCGUCUUGAAACACGGACCAAGGAGUCU